RNAcentral lists this ribosomal RNA (275 nucleotides) under uncultured bacterium. RNAcentral describes it as "partial 16S ribosomal RNA". It matches the Rfam family "Bacterial small subunit ribosomal RNA", at positions 338 to 630 of the family's 1533-position model. The record is from RNAcentral.
CCUACGGGGGGCUGCAGUGGGGAAUCUUGGACAAUGGGCGCAAGCCUGAUCCAGCCAUGCCGCGUGAGUGAAGAAGGUCUUCGGAUUGUAAAGCUCUUUUGCCAGGGACGAUAAUGACGGUACCUGGAGAAUAAGCCCCGGCAAACUUCGUGCCAGCAGCCGCGGUAAUACGAAGGGGGCUAGCGUUGUUCGGAAUUACUGGGCGUAAAGCGCACGUAGGCGGGUCGUUAAGUCAGGGGUGAAAUCCCGGAGCUCAACUCCGGAACUGCCUUUGA